ACGGGUGAGUAACGCGUGGGAACAUACCCUUAUCUUCGGAACAACUCCGGGAAACUGGAGCUAAUACCGAAUGUGCCCUUAGGGGGAAAGAUUUAUCGGAUAAGGAUUGGCCCGCGUUGGAUUAGCUAGUUGGUGGGGUAAAGGCCUACCAAGGCGACGAUCCAUAGCUGGUCUGAGAGGAUGAUCAGCCACAUUGGGACUGAGACACGGCCCAAACUCCUACGGGAGGCAGCAGUGGGGAAUAUUGGACAAUGGGCGCAAGCCUGAUCCAGCCAUGCCGCGUGAGUGAUGAAGGCCUUAGGGUUGUAAAGCUCUUUCACCGGAGAAGAUAAUGACGGUAUCCGGAGAAGAAGCCCCGGCUAACUUCGUGCCAGCAGCCGCGGUAAUACGAAGGGGGCUAGCGUUGUUCGGAAUUACUGGGCGUAAAGCGCACGUAGGCGGACAUUUAAGUCAGGGGUGAAAUCCCGGGGCUCAACCUCGGAACUGCCUUUGAUACUGGGUGUCUUGAGUGUGGAAGAGGUCAGUGGAAUUGCGAGUGUAGAGGUGAAAUUCGUAGA
This 557-nucleotide ribosomal RNA is filed under the name uncultured bacterium. RNAcentral's name for it is "bacterial SSU rRNA". It matches the Rfam family "Bacterial small subunit ribosomal RNA", at positions 102 to 694 of the family's 1533-position model. The record is from RNAcentral.